AACGAACGCUGGCGGCAGGCUUAACACAUGCAAGUCGAGCGCCUCGCAAGAGGAGCGGCAGACGGGUGAGUAACGCGUGGGAACGUACCCUUAUCUUCGUAAUAGCUCUGGGAAACUGGAAGUAAUACCGAAAGUGCCCUCAGGGGGAAAGAUUUAUCGGAUAAGGAUCGGCCCGCGUUGGAUUAGCUAGUUGGUGGGGUAAAGGCCUACCAAGGCGACGAUCCAUAGCUGGUCUGAGAGGAUGAUCAGCCACAUUGGGACUGAGACACGGCCCAAACUCCUACGGGAGGCAGCAGUGGGGAAUAUUGGACCAUGGGCGCAAGCCUGAUCCAGCCAUGCCGCGUGAGUGAUGAAGGCCUUAGGGUUGUAAAGCUCUUUCACCGGAGAAGAUAAUGACGGUAUCCGGAGAAGAAGCCCCGGCUAACUUCGUG
This 431-nucleotide ribosomal RNA is filed under the name uncultured bacterium. RNAcentral's name for it is "partial 16S ribosomal RNA". It matches the Rfam family "Bacterial small subunit ribosomal RNA", at positions 29 to 507 of the family's 1533-position model. The record is from RNAcentral.